CCCAUGAAUUAACCCGACACGGGAUCCGCAUCACUCAUUUGGGUCCGAUAAGUUCAUUCCAUAUAUAAAGAACAACCCGCUCCUUUCAUUCACAUACUAGGGUUUCCAAGAUUCAGCUUCUUCUCCAAGCUUCCUCUCUCAAUCUCAAACGUCUGAUAAGCUCCGACUCAAAUGGCUUUUUGAAGGAAUUUGUAAAAGCCUCUUCAAGUUUCGUCACUAAUUCGAUCCUUCACUCGCGAUCUAGGGUUUUGCUCCAAAAACCCCUUUCUCUCAUCCAAUCCAUCUACUUAUUCUUCUUCAAUCAACAGGUGACUGAUUGUUGGUUCGUAUGUGACGUGGAGAUGCCUGUGGAUGUGAGACGAACGAUGCUAAAGGCAACAGAGAAGGUAAUGAAGAAAAAGAGUAAAAAGGGGGAAGAUGAAUUAUUGCAAGGACUGUGGAGCUUUGUUUAGAAACCCACGCACCAGAAGAAGCAUAUGAAAAGCUAUUCAUUGCAAUUUCAUCUAAAUAUAAGGAUCCAGAAUUGGAUCAGAGAUCAAGUUGCUCGGGUUAUCUGAACAAUUUAGGGAGAAAUUUUUUGAACAUGUUAUACUUAUUGAAUCUUGAUAUGGGUUAAUGAGGGAAUGUAAAUGACUACAGAGUUUGAUGGUGGUACGAAUUUGUUCCUUUUGACAAAAAUGUGGGUGGUGGGUCAAAACGGGUCAGUUAAAAAUGGCUGUUUUGUUUCAGGUUGAAACGGACCCGGGUCAGAACAGGUUUCGGGUUGGGCUGUUUAAAAGAUGUUAAAAAAAGAGAUUACACAGUUAACUACCCAAAAGAAACUAGAAAAACACAGCCUAACUAAAAUAAGAUCACUGGAUGUCGAAGCACCUCCACCAGCCCACAAAAAGAGAAACAACUAAUAAAUAAUGUGACUAAAACAAACAAGGUCCAGUAAGUAUGUAACCAAAGCCAAUACACUAAAACCACAACUAAACCGUUCCACUUUAAAUAGUCUUAACAACUCUACCACAAUUAGCUAACUAGGCCCUUUCAAAAUAAGUGAAUAUAUACCCACCAUAAGCAAACUAAAACCAAUAUGUAAAUUGUACUAUUGGAAGCCAAUGCACUGAAACACUCUUUAUGCCUCCUAUCUUUUCUAAUAUUGAGACCCUAUAACAAGAUAAAACCCGAUAACACAAUAUGACUGUCAUAUUUUAUCACACCAUAACCGAACCAUGGAAUUCCCAAAACUUGGAAAUUUGAUAUGCAAUAGAAUAUCAACUGCUUCUUAUUCAAUGAAUGGAAGCAGUGCAGAUUUUCUAUUAAUUUGAACGUGCUAUGCGCCUAUGCUUAACGAAAUAAUAUUGUUGAGCUUAUAAGAACUUCCAUUUGUUUAAGCUUGAAGCUUUGAUUGUUAAUGCUGCUAAGAACUUCCAUUUGUUUAAGCUUGAAGCUUUGAUUGUUAAUGCUGCUACUAAGUUCAGUCGUAAGUAUUAUUUAUUAUUUUCAUUUAUAAACUAAGCUUAUCAUCUUAGUUGUGUGAUUUUUUUUUAAACUGAGAAGGUUUAGUUGAUUCUAUAUUUGUUUUUAGACAUAUAUAAAUACAUACAAAACUUUAUUGAAGAUGUUGAUGCUAUUUUUUUAUUUGCUAUUAGUUUUCGUUGAAGAUAUUUGUAUUAACUUUUUCUAUUUACUUUAUUUAGAUGUAGAUAUUUUAUUGAGCCGAACUUUUUAAAGAGUUAGGUAUUCUAUUAGUUUAGCUUUAUAUAGAUUUUUGAAUUGUAUGUAGUUUAUAAUUUAAUGUAGUUUGUAAUUCUUUGAGAAAGAAUUGUAAUUUGACAGGUUUCUUUCCGAAUUGAAUUAUGUAUUGGGUCAAUUUGAAAAGGUUCGAAUUGGUGUAUAUAUUGGCUUGAAUUGGGCAGGUUUGGAAUGGACACAAAAUGCCAAAUAAUUUUUUUUCAGCUUACAUUAUAAGGCGGGGUCCAUCAUAAUAAUUUUAAUAAUUUUUGAAAAUGUAUUUUGGAUUUAAAGACGGGGUUCAUCAUGUUUAACACGCCCCGUCUAAUAAAAACCGCUUUUUAAGAAGCAGUAUUUUAAGACGGGAUUAGAAACCCCGUCUUAAAACCUAAAUCACCCCGUCUAAUGCUCCAUUUUAUAGUAGUGUGCUGAGUUAUCUUAUCUCUCAAGUCCUACAACUCAUGGCGAUUCAGUUCUCUUGAUCACAACUAUCAUGAGUUCACUAUGUUUAAUAUAACAAAAGGUAACCCUCAGUUUUAAUUUAGGAGUUUGUAAUACAUGGUUUUGUUAGAUCUAUAGUAUGAUGCUUCGUUUAUUUUAAUUUUCAACUUCAGAUUUUCAUAACAAGUCCAUGCAUACAAUUUUUUAUGAUCAGUAUAAACCUAUUUUUUUUUCUAAAAAUAAAAAAACAUAUCAUUUCUUAACACCGCAAAAUUCGCGGAUAUUAGCACUAGUUGAGAUGAUAAAAUAUCUCAAAUAAUAAUAACCUUUUCUGGCCACCUCCUUUUUCUUCAUUUAAUUAUAUGGCAAUUUUUUCUUUAAAUAAUAUAUCUUUUUUUUCCUUUUUUGUGGGUGUCGCCUCCAAUAUAUGAUAUUCACUAUAGUUGGCUUCUAAUACGGCUGCCAUUUAUUCUGUUAUGGCCAUAAUGAGAAUACCCUUCAAAUAUAAUAAUAGUAGCAGCAAUAACCUUUUUUUCCUUUACCUUCGUUCAUUCCUUCAAAUCAUCAUAUGUAGCCCACCUCCUCUCAAUAAUAAUAUAUGGCCAAAUAGGCUUCACAAUGCAUCUACAUGUGCAAGUUGUCUCUAAUAGACAACAUAGAGAUAGUGGGCUCGGCCCACUCACGGGAAAUGGUUGCAAUUUUUAUUCGGUCUCUGGCGAUCUAUUCUACUCAACUUGCUAGUUAUUUAUUUAUUACUCGAUUUCGCUCCAUUUGCACCAGGACAAAACACAAUAUAAAAUAAUAUAACACUAAACUAAAUAAAAACAAAUAAAACUUAUACAAAAAUUAUACAAUUUACACGGGACAAAUAUGUGUAUUUUACCCCACAUCAACUUGCGUAGCGGGUAUCAUCAAAUUCGAAUUUUCGAAGGCGAUGAGUGGAAGACAACAUUUAAAACCAAGGAGGGGCUUUAUGAAUGGCUGGUGAUGCCUUUUGGGUUAUCUAAUGCCCCUAGCACGUUUAUGCAGCUGAUAAACCAAGCGAUGAAACCUUUUUUGGGCCGUUUUGUAGUCGUAUAUUUUGAUGAUAUUCUUGUUUAUAGCAAGAACACUACUAAACAUGUUAACCGUUUGCAGCAAGUGUUUUCUGUU
Molecule: long non-coding RNA, 3312 nt
Organism: Helianthus annuus (common sunflower)
Lineage: Eukaryota; Viridiplantae; Streptophyta; Magnoliopsida; Asterales; Asteraceae
Exons: 6
Source: RefSeq, a predicted model, not a curated record